Molecule: ribosomal RNA, 459 nt
Filed under: uncultured bacterium
Lineage: Bacteria
Description: partial 16S ribosomal RNA
Rfam family: Bacterial small subunit ribosomal RNA
Source: RNAcentral
CCUACGGGAGGCAGCAGUGAGGAAUAUUGGUCAAUGGGCGCGAGCCUGAACCAGCCAAGUCGCGUGAGGGAAGACGGCCCUAUGGAUUGUAAACUUCUUUUGUAGGGGAGUAAAUGACGGUACGUGUACAGCUCUGCGAGUACCCGAAGAUAAAGGAUCGGCUAACUCCGUGCCAGCAGCCGCGGUAAUACGGAGGAUGCGGGCGUUAUCCGGAUUUAUUGGGGUAAAAGGGUGGGGAGUGGGAUGUACAAGUCCGAGGUAAAAUUUGGAGCCUCAACCUCUACGAGGUGUUGAAACGGGUUAGCUUGAGUGCACGAGAAGUAUGCGGAAUGCGUGGUGUAGCGGUGAAAUGCGUAGAUAUCAGGCGGAACUCCGACGGCGAAGGCGGCAUACCGGCGUUUAACUGACGCUCAGGCACGAAGGUGUGGGUAUCGAACAGGAUUAGAUACCCCUGUAGUC